CGAAAGUGUGGGUAGCAAACAGGAUUAGAUACCCUGGUAGUCCACACUGUAAACGAUGAUUACUAGGUGUGGGGGGUCUAACCCCCUCCGUGCCGGAGUUAACACAAUAAGUAAUCCACCUGGGGAGUACGACCGCAAGGUUGAAACUCAAAGGAAUUGACGGGGGCCCGCACAAGCAGUGGAGUAUGUGGUUUAAUUCGACGCAACGCGAAGAACCUUACCAGGUCUUGACAUCCAACUAACGAAGCAGAGAUGCAUUAGGUGCCCUUCGGGGAAAGUUGAGACAGGUGGUGCAUGGUUGUCGUCAGCUCGUGUCGUGAGAUGUUGGGUUAAGUCCCGCAACGAGCGCAACCCUUGUGAUUAGUUGCUACGCAAGAGCACUCUAAUCAGACUGCCGUUGACAAAACGGAGGAAGGUGGGGACGACGUCAAAUCAUCAUGCCCUUUAUGACCAGGGCUACACACGUACUACAAUGGUCGUUAACAAAGGGAAGCAAUACCGCGAGGUGGAGCAAAACCCUAAAAACGGUCUCAGUUCAGAUUGUAGGCUGCAACUCGCCUACAUGAAGUUGGAAUUGCUAGUAAUCGCGGAUCAGCAUGCCGCGGUGAAUACGUUCCCGGGCCUUGCACU
Molecule: ribosomal RNA, 630 nt
Filed under: uncultured bacterium
Lineage: Bacteria
Description: bacterial SSU rRNA
Rfam family: Bacterial small subunit ribosomal RNA
Source: RNAcentral